UGAGUCCAGGAAACGUGGGACACAAAGGAAACGUGACAGGGGGGGAAAGGAUUCCCGGUCUCCUGGGUGAAAGUCCUGUGUUUUACCCAUCAACCCCCCUGUCCAACCUCCCUACGUGGAUUUUUGCCCUUUCAUACUACUCGCUACGGCCUAAACUCACACGCAAUCGCAAGGUGAUGGAAGUCAAUGGUGGCCAAACGGCGUUGAUAAGCACGCUAAAAAGCGAGUAUGCGUCUUGAUAACACGCCAAUAAUGGCAAACUAAUUGCUGUGUCAU
This is a long non-coding RNA of Etheostoma spectabile (orangethroat darter), 276 nucleotides long. RefSeq lists it as uncharacterized. The transcript is spliced from 3 exons. The record is from RefSeq and is a predicted model, not a curated record. NCBI's taxonomy places the organism in Eukaryota, Metazoa, Chordata, Actinopteri, Perciformes, Percidae.